Long non-coding RNA from Alnus glutinosa, 634 nucleotides. RefSeq lists it as uncharacterized. The record is from RefSeq and is a predicted model, not a curated record. Lineage: Eukaryota; Viridiplantae; Streptophyta; Magnoliopsida; Fagales; Betulaceae. The transcript has 3 exons.
UCUCCACACUCUUUUCUCUCUCUCUCUCUCUCUCUCUCUCUCUCUCUCUCUCUUUCGCGGCCUUCUUGCCUAUAGGUCUCUCCAAGUCUACAGUAACAUUUUCAUCAUCAUUGUCAUCAUCUAGAUGUAUCACAGGUUGAGGAGAAGGACUUAUGAAUUUCUUUCUCAGCACUGGCUUCAACUGCUUCCAUUUCGACAAGGUCUUCAACAAGUUCCAACAAUGUUCAAAUUGAAAUCCGAUAGAGUAUUCUUCCCGCGGCAUAUUGAGAGGAAUUGUUUAGGAAACCUAGCUAAGCUAAUAUCCUUGCAAACAAGCGGUGAACUCACACUUUCACCUAUACGGAUGUAACUACCACCACAACCGUAUAGAUGGAGCUUCUUGGAUGCAAGUACUGGUGAUGUGGAGGAUGACUCCGUUGCAAACUAUUUGGAGUACUAUGACUAAAGCAUGUUGCUUAAGUCGUAGGAGUGUCAAACUUGGAUAGUCUCUUUUGUUGUAUAUUUUGUAUAUGGCUAAUGGGACUUGUAACACUUAGAUGAUAGCCAUUCUUUUGUUAUGUAUAAUUUAUGCUUAAGCCUUAAACAGAUAGACGUUAAUUGGCUCUUUUGUGUAAUGGACAGUUUAUAUUUAUGA